Non-coding RNA from Phrynosoma platyrhinos (Desert horned lizard), 71 nucleotides. The record is from the annotation of a GenBank genome assembly. NCBI's taxonomy places the organism in Eukaryota, Metazoa, Chordata, Lepidosauria, Squamata, Phrynosomatidae.
GCCACUAUGGUGUAGUGGUUUGAAUGUUGGAUUAUGACUCUGGAGACCAGGGUUCGAUUCCCUGGUUGGCA